Medicago truncatula (barrel medic) is the source of this 174-nucleotide microRNA precursor. It matches the Rfam family "MIR2619 microRNA precursor family". NCBI's taxonomy places the organism in Eukaryota, Viridiplantae, Streptophyta, Magnoliopsida, Fabales, Fabaceae. The record is from Rfam.
AAACAGCCCCCUAUGUUUUGAUUUUUUGGCAGUUUUGGACCCCCAAGGCAAAAAAAAAAAAAAAAAAAAAUUGACACGUGGCACCUCACUUAGGGUGCCACGUCAGCGUUGACCGAGUCAACAAUGGACUAGGGGUCCAAAACUGCCAAAGAAUCAAAACAUAUGGGGCUGUUU